UACAUAUGCCUGCAGCCACUUCCAGCUCCAGUCUUCCUAGAGUUCUACGGACUCUAAUUAUAUGGCAUGUUUUGCAUAUUUCUGAAACUUCAUAUGGGAAACAAACUUUUGGAAAUUGAUUCAUUUAAGAAUCUGUGGCCAGGCGUGGUGGCUCACGACUGUAAUCCCAGCACUUUGGGAGGCUGAGGCGGGUGCAUUGCCUGAGGUCAGGAGUUCAAGACCAGCCUGACCAACAUGGUGAAACCCUGUCUCCGCUAAAAAUACAAAAAAUAGCCGGGCAUGGUGGCGCACACCUGUAAUCCCAGCUACUCCAGAGGCUGAGGCAGGAGAAUUGCUUGAGACCAGGAAGCGGAGGUUGCAGUGAGCACUGCACUCCAGCCUGGGCAGCAAAAGCGGAACUCUCUCUCAAAGAAGAAAAGAAUAUGUAUGGGAUCUUGUUAUUGAAGAGAAGUCCGAAAUAAAUUAUUCAUGGUGUGAAUCCUUUGUAAUAUGAGUGCCUUGUCCACUUGCCACUGAUCGACUAGUACUGGAUUUUCCUCCAGUGAGGUCCAUGUGAAUCUCCCAGCACACCUGGCAGGGGUGCUCAAGGAGAAGGGUGAUUCUCACAAAGUGGCCGUUUUGGUUUCCCGAUAACGGAUCUGGUGACUUGCACCCAGCGCAGACCUAUGGAUGGCAGAGAUGAUGGUCUGAUGUCUUAAGGCAGAGUCCUGGGGUCCCCGUGCUAUCCCUUGGAUAAGGAUAUUUGCUUCUCUGAACCUCCCAGAAUUCCAGGUCCAGGUCAACUCUCCACCUUCCCACCCACUCUGUGCCUGGAAGGGUGACUCCUCUGGCCACCUCUGGCUUCUUGCUUGGUGUGAUCAAAGGAGACUGGAGGAUGCAAGGAGAGUGAAGCGGUAUUUAUUUCUGGUUCUGGGUUUCUGCAACUUCUCUCUGCCCUUUCCCCUUGCGCCCAGCCAGUGUUUAAAUCCACCACUAUCCCUGUGGUCUUCCAAUACCCUGACCUCACCUUUGUGGAUAAGGGACUGUUUACUCAAUCCAGGCUUCAGGCUGUUUCCUACAGCUACCCAUCUAAAAGCCUAAGAAAUAAAACAAAAUAAAAGUAGUUACACUGAUGUAUUUCUCCUUGGUUAAACCCCCUUCUUAGCUCUCAAAAUUAAUCUAUUCUGGAUAUGGCAUUCUCAUUCUUCUGCUUGUUUGUAUGCUCUUAGCUCAUUAUAUAUGGCAGCUGCUGUCAAGAGCUCCACCCACAUUUCCUCACCUUUUUCAUUUUAGUGCAUUAGGGAUCAACUAGUAAUUUAUUUUUGUUUUUGUUGUUUUGCCUGAGGGCUUUCUCUGGCCACCAGAGGUUACUUGGCCACCACUGUGUGAGACUAGAAGUGCUAGGGGUUAAUUCCUCCUCCUCUGCAGCUUUCAGAAAAAGGUGGACCGGAGUUGGUGUAUAAAUACCCCAGGUCUCUCCCCACUCUGAUGAGCUAUCACAGGACAUAGAAUUUCCCUGCAGGAUUAAGUGCCAACGACUAGCUGGCUAAGUAGCACACUUCUUAUUGGCUGCUUUCCCUUCCCUGUCGCUUCUCCUCUCCCCUACAGUUGUUUUCUGGGAUCACCUCCCAAAUAAACGAUCUGUACUUAAGUCCUAACUUCACACUCCUUUUCGUGAAAGCUUUGAUAAUAUGUACACAUCUCUAGGCAAAUACAGUAUUUUUAUUUCCUUUAGGCUUUAUGAAAUGAUCACACUGUCUGAUAUCUUAUGUCACUUGCACCUGCUCUACAUCAUGUUUAUUAGAUUCAAUCUCAAUGAUUUCCUUUUCUGUGAGCCAUUCAUUUUCACUGCUACAUAGUAUUCCAUUGCAGGAAUUGUUAUUCUCCUUUGAUGACUCUAUAAGCAUCUCUUUUUUUCUUUGCUACUAUAAGUCAUACUGCC
RNAcentral lists this long non-coding RNA (1921 nucleotides) under Homo sapiens (human). Its description in RNAcentral is "HSALNT0258365". The record is from RNAcentral. Lineage: Eukaryota; Metazoa; Chordata; Mammalia; Primates; Hominidae.